GUAUAGGUUUUAUUAUUAUUAAUAAAUUAUUAUUAAAUAAUUGUAUUUAAAUAUACAGCCACAGAAGGUGCCAGCCCUGUUAUUUAAUAAUAUUUAUUAAAUUUAUAAAACUUUAGAGUCGUGUUGCUUGGAAGUGCAGCACAAAGUUGGUGAUAAACAUCAUCUAAGGCUAAAUAUUCCUAUGAAUCCGAUAGCGAACAAGUACUGUGAAGGAAAAUUGCAAAGUACUCCGGAGAGAGAGUUAAAGAGGACGUGAAACCGAUACGAUGGAAGCAUACAGAGCCAGUUGCACUAUUAUUAAUAUUUUUUUAUUAAUAAUUUUAAGCAUGGGUAUAUUGAUUAUUAAUUAGUUAUUUAUUAAAGAGUGAUAAAAUUUUUUAAAUUUUGUUAACUUUAAUAAAAUAAUUAUAUUUAUAAUUAAUAUUAUAUAUUAUUAAUGUAUUAAUAAUAUUUUAAUUAUUAAUAUAAUAUAARACACAUGUGUUAAAUAUUAUUUAUUAAUAAUUAUUAUAUUAUUAUAAAUUAAUAA
Molecule: ribosomal RNA, 529 nt
Filed under: Strongyloides stercoralis
Lineage: Eukaryota; Metazoa; Nematoda; Chromadorea; Rhabditida; Strongyloididae
Description: partial 28S ribosomal RNA
Rfam family: Archaeal large subunit ribosomal RNA (bases 1-261)
Source: RNAcentral